CCUACGGGCGGCAGCAGUGGGGAAUAUUGCGCAAUGGGCGAAAGCCUGAUGCAGCGACGCCGCGUGAGGGAUGAAGGCCUUCGGAUUGUAAACCUCUGUCAGCAGGGAAGAACGGUCACUGUGCUAAUCAGCAGUGAAUUGCCGGUACCUGCACAGGAAGCACCGGCGAACUCCGUGCCAGAAGCCGGGGUAGUACGGAGGGUGCGAGCGUUAAUCGGAAUGACUGGGCGUAAAGCGCUCGUAGGCGGUAUUUCAAGUCAAGUGUGAAAUCCUCGGGCUCAACGUGGGAACUGCCUUUGAAACUGGCAAUCUGGAGUGGAGGAGAGGAGAGUGGAAUUCCUGGUGUAGGGGUGAAAUGCGUAGAGAUCAGGAGGAACAUCAGUGGCGAAGGCGACUAUCUGGCACAUAACUGACGCUGAGGAUCGAAAGCGUGGGUAGCAAACAGGAUUAGAUACCCUAGUAGUC
RNAcentral lists this ribosomal RNA (465 nucleotides) under uncultured bacterium. RNAcentral describes it as "partial 16S ribosomal RNA". It matches the Rfam family "Bacterial small subunit ribosomal RNA", at positions 338 to 795 of the family's 1533-position model. The record is from RNAcentral.